CCUAGUAACGGCGAGUGAAGCGGCAACAGCUCAAAUUUGAAAUCUGGCUCUCGGGCCCGAGUUGUAAUUUGUAGAGGAUGCUUUUGAUGCGGUGCCUUCCGAGUUCCCUGGAACGGGACGCCAUAGAGGGUGAGAGCCCCGUCUGGUUGGAUGCCAAAUCUCUGUAAAGCUCCUUCGACGAGUCGAGUAGUUUGGGAAUGCUGCUCUAAAUGGGAGGUAUAUGUCUUCUAAAGCUAAAUACCGGCCAGAGACCGAUAGCGCACAAGUAGAGUGAUCGAAAGAUGAAAAGCACUUUGAAAAGAGAGUUAAAAAGUACGUGAAAUUGUUGAAAGGGAAGCGUUUAUGACCAGACUUGGGCUUGGUUAAUCAUCUGGGGUUCUCCCCCAGUGCACUUUUUCCAGUCCAGGCCAGCAUCAGUUUUCGCCGGGGGAUAAAGGCUUCGGGAAUGUGGCUCCCUCCCGGGGAGUGUUAUAGCCCGUUGCGUAAUACCCUGGCGGGGACUGAGGUUCGCGCAUCUGCAAGGAUGCUGGCGUAAUGGUCAUCAACGACCCGUCUUGAAACACGGACCAAGGAGUCGUCUUCGUAUGCGAGUGUUCGGGUGUCAAACCCCUACGCGUAAUGAAAGUGAACGCAGGUGAGAGCUUCGGCGCAUCAUCGACCGAUCCUGAUGUUCUCGGAUGGAUUUGAGUAAGAGCAUACGGGGCCGGACCCGAAAGAAGGUGAACUAUGCCUGUGUAGGGUGAAGCCAGAGGAAACUCUGGUGGAGGCUCGCAGCGGUUCUGACGUGCAAAUCGAUCGUCAAACAUGGGCAUGGGGGCGAAAGACUAAUCGAACCUUCUAGUAGCUGGUUUCCGCCGAAGUUUCCCUCAGGAUAGCAGUGUUGAACUCAGUUUUAUGAGGUAAAGCGAAUGAUUAGGGACUCGGGGGCGCUAUUUAGCCUUCAUCCAUUCUCAAACUUUAAAUAUGUAAGAAGCUCUUGUUGCUUAAUUGAACGUGAGCAUUCGAAUGUAUCAACACUAGUGGGCCAUUUUUGGUAAGCAGAACUGGCGAUGCGGGAUGAACCGAACGCGAGGUUAAGGUGCCAGAGUAGACGCUCAUCAGACACCACAAAAGGUGUUAGUACAUCUUGACAGCAGGACGGUGGCCAUGGAAGUCGGAAUCCGCUAAGGACUGU
This 1174-nucleotide ribosomal RNA is filed under the name Fusarium oxysporum. RNAcentral's name for it is "LSU rRNA". It matches the Rfam family "Eukaryotic large subunit ribosomal RNA", at positions 79 to 1281 of the family's 3401-position model. Lineage: Eukaryota; Fungi; Ascomycota; Sordariomycetes; Hypocreales; Nectriaceae. The record is from RNAcentral.